RNAcentral lists this long non-coding RNA (561 nucleotides) under Homo sapiens (human). RNAcentral's name for it is "non-protein coding lnc-GDAP2-3:3". The record is from RNAcentral. Lineage: Eukaryota; Metazoa; Chordata; Mammalia; Primates; Hominidae.
CCCUAGUGUAAUAAGUUUUAUAACUAAAAAGGUUUAAGCUGCUAAAACUAUUUUUAAGAGAUGUGAAAUGCAGUAUGGGACUAUCUUUUUUUCCUCCUCUAAGCCCAAAGAUUAACUAGAGUCCCUCCAACCUUAUAGAUUUUUGGCUUUCACAAUCUUAUAACCUAGGAUACAGGUAGUUUCGAGUAUGGUGCCAGUGAUGUUUUGUUUUUGUUUGGUCAAGGGGUAGGUGCAACCCAAUGGACCACUUAUGCAAAAGAUGUAAACUCUUGCAUAAUACAUCGAUAACAUGUUUUGCCAACUUUAAAUGCUUAAACAUAAGCGAAACCAGUAGCAAGUAUGUGGGUCAGUUUAAAAAUUUUGAUUGUUAAUGCCCUAUUUUCUAAUUUGGCACCUCUUUUGAUGCCUAAGCAGGUAAGCAGAUGCCUAAGCUGUAUUUCUCCAAAUAAAUCAAGAGGAAGUACUGCCCAAGUUAAAUAUUGAUAGCCUAAAGACAAAUUCAUGUAGUACUUAAUGUACAUGAUAUGAAUUUGAAGCAUAAAAUUAAAUUUUUCCCCAUUG